RNAcentral lists this transfer RNA (72 nucleotides) under Planctomycetales bacterium. Its description in RNAcentral is "tRNA-Lys". It matches the Rfam family "tRNA". Rfam says of the family: Transfer RNA (tRNA) molecules are approximately 80 nucleotides in length. Their secondary structure includes four short double-helical elements and three loops (D, anti-codon, and T loops). Further hydrogen bonds mediate the characteristic L-shaped molecular structure. tRNAs have two regions of fundamental functional importance: the anti-codon, which is responsible for specific mRNA codon recognition, and the 3' end, to which the tRNAs corresponding amino acid is attached (by aminoacyl-tRNA synthetases). tRNAs cope with the degeneracy of the genetic code in two manners: having more than one tRNA (with a specific anti-codon) for a particular amino acid; and 'wobble' base-pairing, i.e. permitting non-standard base-pairing at the 3rd anti-codon position. The record is from RNAcentral. Lineage: Bacteria; Pseudomonadati; Planctomycetota; Planctomycetia; Planctomycetales.
GGGGCCGUAGUGUAAUGGCAGCACAGCGAACUUUUAAUUCGUCAAGCGCGGGUUCGAGCCCCGCUGGCCCCA